GCUGAGAAGAGACUCUACACUGGAAGAACACACUUUGGGAAGAGCAGAAUCAGCCCCUUCAUCAUUUUGGUUUCCCUCUUCUGCUGCACCUUCUUCAGUUCGACAGUAUCCCUUCUUUUGUAAUCUGGCGACUGGAACGAUACACAUUACUUCUGAGGAACAGUUACAACUGGAAAGAAGGUCAGCUUCAUGUUGUUGUUGUUGUUGUUGUUGUUGCUGUUGUUCUUAUACCCCAGUAAGCUUUCAUACCACCUUGGGUUUAUUCCCUCUUUUUGACAGUUAAAGCACCACAUUUUCAUUGAUGCCAGGAGAUGUUGAACAGUAGGGCACACAUCUUGGGGUGCCUCUGUUAUGGCACAAGAGAUAUUCCCAGACUGAUUGGGCAAGGUUCGGACCACAAUGUGUGUCUGGACAUUUAAAUUUGCAUUCUGAUUGGGCAAGACCUCUAGGGUUUUUAAAUUCUGUCUUGAUUGAAUUGGGCAAGAUCUCUAGGAUUUUUAAAUUGUAUAUGGAAUUGGGCAAGAUCAAGGCCUGUGUGGGCCUCGAUUUUUAAAUUGCAUCCCCCAGCUUGACAUUGACGUUUGUAUUCUGAUUGGGCAAGACCUCUAGGGUUUUUAAAUUCUGUAAGGAAUUGGGCAAGAUCAGGGCCUGUGUGGGCCUCGAUUUUUAAAUUGCAUCCCCCAGCUUGACUCAGCACACAAUCUCUAGGUUCCCUUAGAGUGAAUUGGGCAUGAUACCAUUUUUUUUUAAAAAAUACCAUUGUCUGGGCAGCUUUAGGCCAGUGGACUGGAGUCCCAUGAGCUUGGAAUCUCCAAUGGCCCAACUGGGCAAGACGAUAGGUGUCUUUAAAUUCUGUCAGGGCCUUGUGGACAUAUUUUUUUAGCCAGGGGUGUAGUGUUAAAUUUGGAUCGACUGACCACCCACUUUGAUUCAUGCUCUUGAUCAAGACUGAAUCAAAUGCAUCACGUUGCGUGUUUUAUAUGCGCUGUGUCCCAAGUGUUUGGUGACCCAUGAAGAGAUGACUUCUUGUUUAGUGCACUCAUGGCCAUCUCGGAUCCUUAUUCCUUACUCAAGGAAAGCAUUGAUUUUGAAUGCUGGGCUCAAGGUUUUGAUGUUUUUCAUGUCUAUUGAUAAAAUGGUAGAAAUCAUUUCACAUGCAAAUGUUUAAAUUGAUUAUGUCAUGCAAGGGUUUUGAGAACUGUCUUGACUAAAGAAAUAGUCUGAUUGCCUUGUCAGCAAGAAUGGUUCUUGCAGCCUAGGUGCAAAUCCUGCUAUCUUGCACAGACACAACAAGCCUUGUGGAAGGUUGUGUCUUUGUUGAAGAUGAUGUUUAGCAGUUUAGCAUUCAAGACUCUUCAGACAUGGAUUGCGUGAACGCCCGGCCUGAGAAAUUGACACCAGAGUGAAUGGAGGCGAAUGCACCUGCUUAAGGAGAGGAAGGCAGAUCACCAAAGGCGGCGGGAGUCCUGUGGUGAGGAUGGGAGGUUGGGAGAAGCUGAGAAGAGACUCUACACUGGAAGAACACACUUUGGGAAGAGCAGAAUCAGCCCCUUCAUCAUUUUGGUUUCCCUCUUCUGCUGCACCUUCUUCAGUUCGACAGUAUCCCUUCUUUUGUAAUCUGGCGACUGGAACGAUACACAUUACUUCUGAGGAACAGUUACAACUGGAAAGAAGGUCAGCUUCAUGUUGUUGUUGUUGUUGUUGUUGUUGCUGUUGUUCUUAUACCCCAGUAAGCUUUCAUACCACCUUGGGUUUAUUCCCUCUUUUUGACAGUUAAAGCACCACAUUUUCAUUGAUGCCAGGAGAUGUUGAACAGUAGGGCACACAUCUUGGGGUGCCUCUGUUAUGGCACAAGAGAUAUUCCCAGACUGAUUGGGCAAGGUUCGGACCACAAUGUGUGUCUGGACAUUUAAAUUUGCAUUCUGAUUGGGCAAGACCUCUAGGGUUUUUAAAUUCUGUCUUGAUUGAAUUGGGCAAGAUCUCUAGGAUUUUUAAAUUGUAUAUGGAAUUGGGCAAGAUCAAGGCCUGUGUGGGCCUCGAUUUUUAAAUUGCAUCCCCCAGCUUGACAUUGACAUUUGUAUUCUGAUUGGGCAAGACCUCUAGGGUUUUUAAAUUCUGUAAGGAAUUGGGCAAGAUCAGGGCCUGUGUGGGCCUCGAUUUUUAAAUUGCAUCCCCCAGCUUGACUCAGCACACAAUCUCUAGGUUCCCUUAGAGUGAAUUGGGCAUGAUACCAUUUUUUUAAAAAAAUACCAUUGUCUGGGCAGCUUUAGGCCAGUGGACUGGAGUCCCAUGAGCUUGGAAUCUCCAAUGGCCCAACUGGGCAAGACGAUAGGUGUCUUUAAAUUCUGUCAGGGCCUUGUGGACAUAUUUUUUUAGCCAGGGGUGUAGUGUUAAAUUUGGAUCGACUGACCACCCACUUUGAUUCAUGCUCUUGAUCAAGACUGAAUCAAAUGCAUCACGUUGCGUGUUUUAUAUGCGCUGUGUCCCAAGUGUUUGGUGACCCAUGAAGAGAUGACUUCUUGUUUAGUGCACUCAUGGCCAUCUCGGAUCCUUAUUCCUUACUCAAGGAAAGCAUUGAUUUUGAAUGCUGGGCUCAAGGUUUUGAUGUUUUUCAUGUCUAUUGAUAAAAUGGUAGAAAUCAUUUCACAUGCAAAUGUUUAAAUUGAUUAUGUCAUGCAAGGGUUUUGAGAACUGUCUUGACUAAAGAAAUAGUCUGAUUGCCUUGUCAGCAAGAAUGGUUCUUGCAGCCUAGGUGCAAAUCCUGCUAUCUUGCACAGACACAACAAGCCUUGUGGAAGGUUGUGUCUUUGUUGAAGAUGAUGUUUAGCAGUUUAGCAUUCAAGACUCUUCAGACAUGGAUUGCGUGAACGCCCGGCCUGAGAAAUUGACACCAGAGUGAAUGGAGGCGAAUGCACCUGCUUAAGGAGAGGAAGGCAGAUCACCAAAGGCGGCGGGAGUCCUGUGGUGAGGAUGGGAGGUUGGGAGAAGCUGAGAAGAGACUCUACACUGGAAGAACACACUUUGGGAAGAGCAGAAUCAGCCCCUUCAUCAUUUUGGUUUCCCUCUUCUGCUGCACCUUCUUCAGUUCGACAGUAUCCCUUCUUUUGUAAUCUGGCGACUGGAACGAUACACAUUACUUCUGAGGAACAGUUACAACUGGAAAGAAGGUCAGCUUCAUGUUGUUGUUGUUGUUGUUGUUGUUGCUGUUGUUCUUAUACCCCAGUAAGCUUUCAUACCACCUUGGGUUUAUUCCCUCUUUUUGACAGUUAAAGCACCACAUUUUCAUUGAUGCCAGGAGAUGUUGAACAGUAGGGCACACAUCUUGGGGUGCCUCUGUUAUGGCACAAGAGAUAUUCCCAGACUGAUUGGGCAAGGUUCGGACCACAAUGUGUGUCUGGACAUUUAAAUUUGCAUUCUGAUUGGGCAAGACCUCUAGGGUUUUUAAAUUCUGUCUUGAUUGAAUUGGGCAAGAUCUCUAGGAUUUUUAAAUUGUAUAUGGAAUUGGGCAAGAUCAAGGCCUGUGUGGGCCUCGAUUUUUAAAUUGCAUCCCCCAGCUUGACAUUGACAUUUGUAUUCUGAUUGGGCAAGACCUCUAGGGUUUUUAAAUUCUGUAAGGAAUUGGGCAAGAUCAGGGCCUGUGUGGGCCUCGAUUUUUAAAUUGCAUCCCCCAGCUUGACUCAGCACACAAUCUCUAGGUUCCCUUAGAGUGAAUUGGGCAUGAUACCAUUUUUUUAAAAAAAUACCAUUGUCUGGGCAGCUUUAGGCCAGUGGACUGGAGUCCCAUGAGCUUGGAAUCUCCAAUGGCCCAACUGGGCAAGACGAUAGGUGUCUUUAAAUUCUGUCAGGGCCUUGUGGACAUAUUUUUUUAGCCAGGGGUGUAGUGUUAAAUUUGGAUCGACUGACCACCCACUUUGAUUCAUGCUCUUGAUCAAGACUGAAUCAAAUGCAUCACGUUGCGUGUUUUAUAUGCGCUGUGUCCCAAGUGUUUGGUGACCCAUGAAGAGAUGACUUCUUGUUUAGUGCACUCAUGGCCAUCUCGGAUCCUUAUUCCUUACUCAAGGAAAGCAUUGAUUUUGAAUGCUGGGCUCAAGGUUUUGAUGUUUUUCAUGUCUAUUGAUAAAAUGGUAGAAAUCAUUUCACAUGCAAAUGUUUAAAUUGAUUAUGUCAUGCAAGGGUUUUGAGAACUGUCUUGACUAAAGAAAUAGUCUGAUUGCCUUGUCAGCAAGAAUGGUUCUUGCAGCCUAGGUGCAAAUCCUGCUAUCUUGCACAGACACAACAAGCCUUGUGGAAGGUUGUGUCUUUGUUGAAGAUGAUGUUUAGCAGUUUAGCAUUCAAGACUCUUCAGACAUGGAUUGCGUGAACGCCCGGCCUGAGAAAUUGACACCAGAGUGAAUGGAGGCGAAUGCACCUGCUUAAGGAGAGGAAGGCAGAUCACCAAAGGCGGCGGGAGUCCUGUGGUGAGGAUGGGAGGUUGGGCGAAGCUAAGAAGAAGGAGAGAAGAGUCUCUACACUGGAAGAACACACUUUGGGAAGAGCAGAAUCAGCCCCUUCAUCAUUUUGGUUUCCCUCUUCUGCUGCACCUUCUUCAGUUCGACAGUGUCCCUUCUUUUGUAAUCUGGUGACUGGAACGAAACACAAGUGAAUGCAGAAGAAAAGUGACGUAACAUCAGAGAAUCUCUGGGGAAGUGAUUUGAAACCGAGGUAAUCUUCUGCCUUCUUUUUCAAAUGGUAAGUGAAAUAAAAGGCAAAAAGUUAGAAAUAUCUUACAUAACAGAUGCCUGGGUGAGCAGGCAUUUGGGCAAAUGGAACCAUCCCCCCCGCAGCCCCCCAGCCCCAAUCAGUGACAAAAUGUGGAGCCCCACCACCACAUGGAGCUCUAAAAUGGGUCGGGAAAUCCCGGGUGGUGUUGGGGAACUCUGACUCAAUGUAGGCUUCCCAACGUCGGGGUUGGCUGAUCCCCGACACCCUCCAACGUGUCCAAUCUCAGGCCAUGUCCAACACAACUGAUGCAGACUUGAACAGCCGUAUAUUAAGCACCUUCUCUCUUUCUGUUCCGAUUCUGCCCCCAAACUGAGCUGAACAGACCCAAGCCCAGAGAUGGAAGGGGAGCUGAAAAGGCUGGAGAACAGCAGAGACACUCUCAAGGCUGGCUUCUACGAAUCCUUCGGUGCACUGCAUCCUCCCCAUGACUCCGAUGACAGCAGCAAUGGACCGAGAGAGAACCUACAUUACGUGUUCAGGACUACAGAAAUCCCCCUCCCCUUGGCCUCGUGCAGAGGGGAGGGAGUUUGUCCCAGCCCCGCUCUGCAUGAGGCCCAAGAAGCGGGCCGAUUGGCCCUUUGGGUUAGGGGGCGGGGUUUCGGCCGGGAUCAGCCGAUCCCUGCCCCGUUCUCCACAGUUUGGGCCAGGCAUUCCCCUCCCUCCCUCCCUGGUACAGAGCGGGUCUAGCGACUGGUCGCCCAACGGGGCCGAGUAGGAAUUUUUUGCUCCCAACGCAUUGGCCACUGUUGGGGGUUUUUUCGCCUACUCCGUUCUGUGUUCCAGGUGUGUAGUUAGAGUUAGGCCGGUCACAAUGGCAGUAACAGUGCGGGCGGGGUGGUAAUUUGAGGGUUAGAACAUCGGUGAGCACCCUUGGAUAUUUAAAAGGGUGAUUGGUCAAUCGCUCCUUUGUGGCCUGUGCGGCACGGGGAGAAUGGAUUGCCAUGAAACCUGCUUCAGGACUUCACCCACCUUUGGGCUGAGCGGUCCGGGGUGGGCGAAGACCUUGAAGUAUCCAGAUCCUCUCUUACGAAAGGGGGGGUUGGCUUUGAAGGAAUUGGGCGGGGCGUACCUGCCCGUUUCCGGAGCCAGGGUGUGUCGCCCAGUAAGGUGCUGGGUAGGACGUCAGAGUUCUAACCCGGUCCUAUUGGCCCGCACUGUUCUCUAAGGGUGAUUAGUCACCUGGUGUUCCAGUCCGCCAUGUCUUUUGUUACAGUUAAUAAAGUUGUGGCCCUUUUACCCA
Long non-coding RNA from Hemicordylus capensis (graceful crag lizard), 6001 nucleotides. RefSeq lists it as uncharacterized. The transcript is spliced from 8 exons. Lineage: Eukaryota; Metazoa; Chordata; Lepidosauria; Squamata; Cordylidae. The record is from RefSeq and is a predicted model, not a curated record.